CCUACGGGAGGCAGCAGUAGGGAAUAUUGCUCAAUGGGGGAAACCCUGAAGCAGCAACGCCGCGUGGAGGAUGAAGGUUUUCGGAUUGUACACUCCUUUUGUUAGAGAAGAUAAUGACGGUAUCUAACGAAUAAGCACCGGCUAACUCCGUGCCAGCAGCCGCGGUAAUACGGAGGGUGCAAGCGUUACUCGGAAUCACUGGGCGGAAAGAGCGCGUAGGCGGGAUAGCAAGUCAGAUGUGAAAUCCUAUGGCUUAACCAUAGAACUGCAUUUGAAACUGUUAUUCUAGAGUAUGGGAGAGGUAGGUGGAAUUCUUGGUGUAGGGGUAAAAUCCGUAGAGAUCAAGAGGAAUACUCAGUGCGAAGGCGACCUGCUAGAACAUAACUGACGCUGAUGCGCGAAAGCGUGGGGAGCAAACAGGAUUAGAUACCCCUGUAGUC
This 440-nucleotide ribosomal RNA is filed under the name uncultured bacterium. Its description in RNAcentral is "partial 16S ribosomal RNA". It matches the Rfam family "Bacterial small subunit ribosomal RNA", at positions 338 to 795 of the family's 1533-position model. The record is from RNAcentral.